GAUGAACGCUAGCUACAGGCUUAACACAUGCAAGUCGAGGGGAAACGAUAGAGAAAGCUUGCUUUUUCUAGGCGUCGACCGGCGCACGGGUGAGUAACGCGUAUCCAACCUGCCCAUCACUUGGGGAUAACCUUGCGAAAGUAAGACUAAUACCCAAUGACGUCUCUAGAAGACAUCUGAAAGAGAUUAAAGAUUUAUCGGUGAUGGAUGGGGAUGCGUCUGAUUAGCUUGUUGGCGGGGUAACGGCCCACCAAGGCGACGAUCAGUAGGGGUUCUGAGAGGAAGGUCCCCCACAUUGGAACUGAGACACGGUCCAAACUCCUACGGGAGGCAGCAGUGAGGAAUAUUGGUCAAUGGACGAGAGUCUGAACCAGCCAAGUAGCGUGCAGGAUGACGGCCCUAUGGGUUGUAAAACUGCUUUUAUAAAGGGAANAAAGUGAGUCUCGUGAGACUUUUUGUCAU
This 462-nucleotide ribosomal RNA is filed under the name uncultured bacterium. RNAcentral's name for it is "bacterial SSU rRNA". It matches the Rfam family "Bacterial small subunit ribosomal RNA", at positions 28 to 475 of the family's 1533-position model. The record is from RNAcentral.